Molecule: ribosomal RNA, 467 nt
Filed under: uncultured bacterium
Lineage: Bacteria
Description: partial 16S ribosomal RNA
Rfam family: Bacterial small subunit ribosomal RNA
Source: RNAcentral
GACGAACGCUGGCGGCGUGCUUAACACAUGCAAGUCGAACGAUGACGACCGAGCUUGCUCGGUCUGAUUAGUGGCGAACGGGUGAGUAACACGUGAGCAACCUGCCCUUCACUCUGGGAUAACCUCGGGAAAUCGGGGCUAAUACCGGAUAUGAGCUCCUGUCGCAUGGCGGGUGUUGGAAAGUUUUUCGGUGAAGGAUGGGCUCGCGGCCUAUCAGUUUGUUGGUGAGGUAGUGGCUCACCAAGGCGAUGACGGGUAGCCGGCCUGAGAGGGCGACCGGCCACACUGGGACUGAGACACGGCCCAGACUCCUACGGGAGGCAGCAGUGGGGAAUAUUGCACAAUGGGCGAAAGCCUGAUGCAGCGACGCCGCGUGAGGGAUGACGGCCUUCGGGUUGUAAACCUCUUUCAGCAGGGAAGAAGCGAAAGUGACGGUACCUGCAGAAGAGGCGCCGGCUAACUACGUG